RNAcentral lists this ribosomal RNA (485 nucleotides) under uncultured bacterium. RNAcentral's name for it is "bacterial SSU rRNA". It matches the Rfam family "Bacterial small subunit ribosomal RNA", at positions 24 to 506 of the family's 1533-position model. The record is from RNAcentral.
UCAGGAUGAACGCUAGCGGCAGGCCUAAUACAUGCAAGUCGAGGGGCAGCAAGUCAGUUUACUGAUGUUGGCGACCGGCGCACGGGUGCGUAACGCGUAUGCAACCUACCUAUUUCUGGGAGAUAGCCCGGGGAAACCCGGAUUAAUAUCCCAUAGUAUCACAUGAUGGCAUCUGAAAGUGAUUAAAGUUUCGAUGGAAAUAGGUGGGCAUGCGUAAGAUUAGCUAGUUGGUGAGGUAAUGGCUCACCAAGGCAACGAUCUUUAGGGGGUCUGAGAGGAUGAUCCCCACACUGGAACUGAGACACGGUCCAGACUCCUACGGGAGGCAGCAGUAGGGAAUAUUGGUCAAUGGGCGAAAGCCUGAACCAGCCAUGCCGCGUGCAGGAUGACAGCUUUCUGAGUUGUAAACUGCUUUUCUAUGAGAAGAAAAAACCCUUGCGAGGGUAAUUGACGGUACCAUAGGAAUAAGCACCGGCUAACUCCGU